CCCUUUUAUAAUGCUAACCGUAUGCCCUAUUUACUUCUAUUUUUUUCUCUAGAAUCUCCUCCCAAAAAACAAUUUAUCAUAAUAUCAAAUUUGAGUAUUUUUUUUUUAAUAUAUUAAACUUUCUUUGUUUGAUCUUUUCAUUUUUUUUUUAAAUUAUUUCUUUUCUUUUUGUACCCUUCUCAACAAUGUGCAUUUUGUAAUAUUAAGCUUUUUUUUUGUUUGGCCCCUUGUGGUUUUUAUAUGAAUAUAUAAUAUAUUUUAUAAGUUGAUCACAAUAUAAAGAUGAAUGACCUAUCUUAUAGGUCAUUUAAUACUAGGUCACCUUGUUAUUACAUGUCAUUGGGAAAAAAACAUCUGGACUUACCACUAGUUUAUUGAACUUUCUCGACCUUCCCUUUAUAUUGUAUUAUGAUCUAUUUGACUGUUUAUUAAUUUAUCUACAUUUUGCUGAUAUCUAAUGAUAUUUAUGUAUCUAACAUAUGUUCCAAAAUUUGACCAAAAUUACACCAUAU
RNAcentral lists this long non-coding RNA (512 nucleotides) under Mytilus galloprovincialis (Mediterranean mussel). The record is from RNAcentral. Lineage: Eukaryota; Metazoa; Mollusca; Bivalvia; Mytilida; Mytilidae.